CACCGGCGGCUCGAGUGGUGGCCACUUUUAUUGGGUCUAAAGCGUCCGUAGCCGGCUUGGCAAGUCCCCUGGGAAAUCUGGCGGCUUAACCGUCAGGCGUCCAGAGGAUACUGCCAGGCUUGGGACCGGGAGAGGUGAGAGGUACCUCAGGGGUAGGGGUGAAAUCUUGUGAUCCCUGAGGGACCACCAGUGGCGAAGGCGUCUCACUAGAACGGGUCCGACGGUCAGGGACGAAAGCUAGGGGAGCAAACCGG
This 254-nucleotide ribosomal RNA is filed under the name uncultured microorganism. RNAcentral describes it as "partial 16S ribosomal RNA". It matches the Rfam family "Archaeal small subunit ribosomal RNA", at positions 474 to 727 of the family's 1478-position model. The record is from RNAcentral.